UUACAACUUUCAACAACGGAUCUCUUGGUUCUGGCAUCGAUGAAGAACGCAGCGAAAUGCGAUACGUAGUGUGAAUUGCAGAAUUCAGUGAAUCAUCGAAUCUUUGAACGCACAUUGCGCCCUUUGGUAUUCCAAAGGGCAUGCCUGUUCGAGCGUCAUU
This 160-nucleotide ribosomal RNA is filed under the name Stemphylium vesicarium. Its description in RNAcentral is "5.8S ribosomal RNA". It matches the Rfam family "5.8S ribosomal RNA". Rfam says of the family: 5.8S ribosomal RNA (5.8S rRNA) is a component of the large subunit of the eukaryotic ribosome. It is transcribed by RNA polymerase I as part of the 45S precursor that also contains 18S and 28S rRNA. Functionally, it is thought that 5.8S rRNA may be involved in ribosome translocation. The record is from RNAcentral. Lineage: Eukaryota; Fungi; Ascomycota; Dothideomycetes; Pleosporales; Pleosporaceae.